GAUGAACGCUGGCGGCGUGCCUAAUACAUGCAAGUCGAGCGAACGGACGAGAAGCUUGCUUCUCUGAUGUUAGCGGCGGACGGGUGAGUAACACGUGGAUAACCUACCUAUAAGACUGGGAUAACUUCGGGAAACCGGAGCUAAUACCGGAUGAUAUUUUGAACCGCAUGGUUCAAAAGUGAAAGGCGGUCUUGCUGUCACUUAUAGAUGGAUCCGCGCUGCAUUAGCUAGUUGGUAAGGUAACGGCUUACCAAGGCAACGAUGCAUAGCCGACCCGAGAGGGUGAUCGGCCACACUGGAACUGAGACACGGUCCAGACUCCUACGGGAGGCAGCAGUAGGGAAUCUUCCGCAAUGGGCGAAAGCCUGACGGAGCAACGCCGCGUGAGUGAUGAAGGUCUUCGGAUCGUAAAACUCUGUUAUUAGGGAAGAACAUAUGUGUAAGUAACUGUGCACAUCUUGACGGUACCUAAUCAGAAAGCCACGGCUAACUACGUG
RNAcentral lists this ribosomal RNA (497 nucleotides) under uncultured bacterium. RNAcentral's name for it is "partial 16S ribosomal RNA". It matches the Rfam family "Bacterial small subunit ribosomal RNA", at positions 28 to 507 of the family's 1533-position model. The record is from RNAcentral.